GUACUUUUUUUGGACUGAACCAUCAUUGCUAACCACUAUAGAGGUUAUGUUUUUUGAUUUGCCCUUUAAUUAGUCUCCUGUCUUACUGUAAAGUUUACAAUUUAUAUGAAAUUAAUCUGUUUCUAUACAUUAAGAAACAGAUAAACAUUGUUUUAAGGAAAUCUUCUUUGUGUCUGCAGAUUGAACCUGCUUACAAAAACUCAUUCCCUUCUUCCUUUGUCUCCUUGGCCGUUGUGAGCUUCAGGCGGGGAUCAGUCGUCAACACCAUAGAACUUCAGUUUGUAAACUCAUCUGUUCCAAAUGACACUGAGAUUAGAAGUGUUUUGAUCAGUCAAGCCUCAAACGUGACAGGCUUUGACACUGAAAUGACCUCCAUCAGUGACAUUGCUCCAACAACUACCACAGUGACUCCUACAACAACAUCUCCUCCCACAACUACCACCACAGCUACAACAACUACCAGAAUAGUACCCACAACAACAUCUGCUCCAACAACUAACACCACAGCUGCAACAACUACCACAGUAGUACCACAACAACAUCUGCUCCAACAACCACCACAGUAGUACCCAGAACAACAACAUCUCCUCCCACAACUACCACCACAGCUACAACAACUACUACAGUGGUACCCACAACAACAACAUCUGCUGCAACAACUACCACAGUAGUACCCACAACAACAUCUGCUCCAACAACUACCACAGUACUACCCACAACAACAUCUGCUCCAACAACUACCACCACAGCUCCAACAACAACAUCUGCUCCAACAACUACCACCACAGCUGCAGCAACUACCACAGUAGUACCCACAACAACAACAUUUGCUCCAACAACUACCACAGCACCUCCAAAAACCGCUACUACUCCUCUAAGUAGUCCCACAUCUGCUCUAACAAUCACAACAGCAGGAACACCGACCACAUCUGUAGCCACAACCACCAGACCUCUGACAAUUAGAUAUGUUGUUUUCAAAUCCAUUCAAGGCAUUUUUACAGCAGACUUGUUGAAUUCAUCAUCUAAAGCUUUUAAAAAUCGAUCUUCAUCAAUAAAGAAACAGAUUGAACCUGCUUACAAAAACACGUUCCGUU
This 1094-nucleotide long non-coding RNA is filed under the name Oreochromis niloticus (Nile tilapia). Its description in RNAcentral is "lncRNA (ENSONIG00000039910.1)". The record is from RNAcentral. Lineage: Eukaryota; Metazoa; Chordata; Actinopteri; Cichliformes; Cichlidae.